AUGCCGUGGUGGGGGCAUACUGCGAUGUACUCCUGGAAUCUCUCCCAAGCUUCCGGAAUGGCUUCAUCCGGGAGCUGCUGAAAUCUAGAGAUUUUACCUCAGAGAAC
This is a small nucleolar RNA of Panicum virgatum (switchgrass), 107 nucleotides long. Lineage: Eukaryota; Viridiplantae; Streptophyta; Magnoliopsida; Poales; Poaceae. The record is from RefSeq and is a predicted model, not a curated record.